RNAcentral lists this long non-coding RNA (1235 nucleotides) under Equus caballus (horse). Its description in RNAcentral is "lncRNA (ENSECAG00000052930.1)". Lineage: Eukaryota; Metazoa; Chordata; Mammalia; Perissodactyla; Equidae. The record is from RNAcentral.
GUAAGUGCAGACAUUAGAAGCCACUGAGACUCUGGGACACAAGAGGCUGACGAGGGGAACGAAACUGGCCUCAAGACCAUCACGUAGAGACCAUUGCGUGGAGACGGGUCUCUGCAGGGGGUGUGCCUGCGUGGGGAGUGGGGCUGGGGGCCCUCUGGGGGCAGAGCUGUGCCGCCCACUGCUAACCCGGGUGCCCAGAGCCCUCCUGGCACACAGUCUGUUCUUGCUAAGCGUUUACUGAGUGGCCUCCUCAGAUCUAGACCCAGGUGGCAUGGACAGCCAGGCUGGGGGGUGGGGGCACUGCCUCGGUGACACCCCUACCCAAACCAUCUUCGCAGGGAGAUUUGGCUGCUGACCCGCGAAGAGAUGCCAGAGGGUGCCACCUUCCAAGAGCGCAAGGUCUGCCCAUGAGGUCUCAGCCACUGCCGGACUCAGACUGACUGUCCCUCCCUCCCAGGCACCACAGUCAGAGCCGGGUUCUAACUCUGACUCUGCUCCUCCUAAGACUUGGGCAAUGCGCUGAGCAACUAGCAGGUAGGAGACAGUGUCUCAGGGAGGCUGGGGGUGUGCACGUACAGCUCAGGGAGGCCCGGAGUGCGGACAUACAGAUCAAGGAGGCCAGGAGUAUGAACACAGAGCCCAGGGAGGCCAGGGGUGUGAACACAGAGCCCAGGGAGGCCAGGGGUGUGAACAGAGAGCCCAGGGAGGCCAGGGCUGUGAACAGAGAGCCCAGGGAGGCCAGGGCUGUGAACACACAGCUUAGGGAGGCCAGGGCAUAAACACACAGGUCAGGGAGGCCCAGAGUAUAAACACACAGCUCAGGGAGGCCAGGGUGUGAACACACAGCUCAGGGAGGCCAGGGUGUGAACACACAACUCAGGGAGGCUAGGGUGUGAACACACAGCUCAGGGAGACCAGGGUGUGAACACACAGCUCAGGGGGCCAGGGGUGUGAACACACAGGUCAGGGAGGCCAGGGUGUGAACACACAGCUCAGGGAGGCCAGGGUGUGAACACACAGAUCAGGGAGGCCAGGGUGUGAACAUGAGCUUAGGGAGGCCAGGGUGUGAACAUGAGCUUAGGGAGGCUGGGGUGUAAGCAUGGAGCUCAGGGCCAGGGCACCUGGCAGACACAUUUUCCUUUAAGAUGAGAGAGAGACCCUGAGAUCCUACUUAACCAGGGGGCUCCUACACAGAUGGUGGCAAUCGUCAGAGCCUGGCGGGAGGUGGGAGGGAG